UCCGAAUGUUGACCUCGAAUCAGGUAGGAAUACCCGCUGAACUUAAGCAUA
RNAcentral lists this ribosomal RNA (51 nucleotides) under Akanthomyces muscarius. RNAcentral describes it as "partial 28S ribosomal RNA". The record is from RNAcentral. Lineage: Eukaryota; Fungi; Ascomycota; Sordariomycetes; Hypocreales; Cordycipitaceae.